RNAcentral lists this long non-coding RNA (256 nucleotides) under Capsella rubella. RNAcentral's name for it is "long non-coding RNA (CRUB_LNC001105)". Lineage: Eukaryota; Viridiplantae; Streptophyta; Magnoliopsida; Brassicales; Brassicaceae. The record is from RNAcentral.
UCUGAAUGAGGCUUGUAUAUAAAGAAAUAUAGGCCAUGCUUGUUUUAAAAGAGAUUCAAUUAUUUUAAGUCAAUUAAAGUUUCAUUUACUCAAUCAUAUGAAAAACAUAUACAAUGCAAAAAAAAAAAAAACCUCUCAUCACACUAAUUUAUCCAAAACAACUUAGCCAUAUCCAAUUUAUUCAUGUACAUGUUAACUAUGUCGUAUGACAACAUGUGUCUAACAACCAAAUGUCACAUUAUCUUCACAAAAUCAC